CAGCCGCCGCGGGAAUACGUAGGUGGCGAGCGUUGUCCGGAAUUAUUGGGCGUAAAGGGAGCGCAGGCGGACAUAUAAGUCCAUCUUAAAAGUGCGGGGCUCAACCCCGUGAGGGGAUGGAAACUGUAUGCCUUGAGUGCAGGAGAGGAAAGCGGAAUUCCCAGUGUAGCGGUGAAAUGCGUAGAUAUUAGGAAGAACACCAGUGGCGAAGGCGGCUUUCUGGACGAAAACUGACGCUGAGGCGCGAAAGCUAGGGGAGCGAACGGGAUUAGAUACCCCCGUAGUCCCUGUCUCUUAUACC
This 301-nucleotide ribosomal RNA is filed under the name uncultured bacterium. Its description in RNAcentral is "partial 16S ribosomal RNA". It matches the Rfam family "Bacterial small subunit ribosomal RNA", at positions 509 to 808 of the family's 1533-position model. The record is from RNAcentral.